Molecule: ribosomal RNA, 936 nt
Filed under: uncultured bacterium
Lineage: Bacteria
Description: bacterial SSU rRNA
Rfam family: Bacterial small subunit ribosomal RNA
Source: RNAcentral
AGAGUUUGAUCAUGGCUCAGAAUGAACGCUGGCGGCGUGCUUAACACAUGCAAGUCGAACGAGAAAGCCGAAAGCUUGCUUUUGGCGAGUAAAGUGGCGCACGGGUGAGUAACGCGUGGGUAAUCUGCCUUCAAAUUCGGGAUAACACAUCGAAAGGUGUGCUAAUACCGGAUAACAUCUUUUUGGCUUCGGUUAAAGAGAUCAAAGAUAGCCUCUACAUGUAAGCUAUUGUUUGAAGAUGAGCCCGCGUACCAUUAGCUUGUUGGUGGGGUAACGGCCUACCAAGGCGACGAUGGUUAGCUGGUCUGAGAGGAUGAUCAGCCACACUGGAACUGGAACACGGUCCAGACUCCUACGGGAGGCAGCAGUGAGGAAUUUUGCGCAAUGGGGGAAACCCUGACGCAGCAACGCCGCGUGAGUGAUGAAGGCUUUCGGGUCGUAAAGCUCUGUCAAGUGGGAAGAACCUGCAUAUAUUUAAUAGGUAUAUGCACUGACGGUACCACUGAAGGAAGCACCGGCUAACUCCGUGCCAGCAGCCGCGGUAAUACGGAGGGUGCAAGCGUUAUUCGGAUUUACUGGGCGUAAAGGGCGCGUAGGCGGUUUGAUAAGUCAGUUGUGAAAGCCCGGGGCUCAACCCCGGAAGUGCAAUUGAAACUGUCAGGCUUGAGUAUGGUAGAGGGAAGUGGAAUUCCAGGUGUAGCGGUGAAAUGCGUAGAUAUCUGGAGGAACACCGGUGGCGAAGGCGACUUCCUGGACCAAUACUGACGCUGAGGCGCGAAGGUGUGGGUAGCAAACAGGAUUAGAUACCCUGGUAGUCCACGCCGUAAACGAUGAUGACUCGCUGUUGGCGAUAUACCGAUCAGCGGCUUAGCGAAAGCGUUAAGUCAUCCACCUGGGGAGUACGCUCGCAAGAGUGAAACUCAAAGGAAUUGACGG